GGACGAUCUGAUUUCCUCGUGUCAGCGUUGUUCCCACAUCAUCAUAAUUAAUGUUGUUCCAGGUUCAACAUUGCAAGUGACCAAUCACCUUCUUGUGACGUCAUUCCUUUGCGACUUCGAAAUACCCGCCUUCGAGUAUUUCGAAACACAAGUGAAGAAGCGAGAAACCGCCGCCUGUCCGCCGAAUUUGAAGUCAAUUCGCCUGUCCGCCGAAUUUGAAGUCAAUUUAGGAUACUUUCCUUUAAUAAACGAAAUGGACGAUAUAAUUAGAAGAAGUGUUCUGAAUGACGAAAAAAAAAAAGAACUGGAAAAGAUACACAACUUUGUGUGCAUGUGUCACAAUGCCAGGAGGACCCAUUCAGUGUUGUGUUAGAAAAAUUGAACUCAUUAACCCUUCAUGGACAUUAUAAAUGUUUAAAUGUUGCCUCAGGUAAAGACAGGAAAAGAGACUAUUACAAAUUCAACUGCAUCAGAGCUGGGGAAAAAAGUCGAAACAGCUACAGAGCAGUGGGCUGUAAGGCCUAUGUUUCAUUUAAAGUACUCAAAUGUUGGAAAGACCACACAGUCAUCGUGCAGCGUACAUAUGAUAAGCAUGAUGGGCAUGAUCCUUCGGACCCAAAAGACACACAUUUCAACAAUAUUUCCAGUGAUUUGAGGAGGAAGAUUGAGGAACUGCUUUCCCUUGGAACUAAGCCAGCCAUCAUACUAACCGAAUGUCAUAAAUGGGCCAAAGAACAUGGACACAGAGAUCUUCACAACAGAGAGCAUUUUGUCACACCACGUGACAUUGACAGUGUUAGAACCUGCAUGAUGAGGAAGAAGCACUUUAACUGUGGAGACAGUCAAAGUGUACAUACCUUACUUAAUGGAAAACAUCAAGAACAUGUUCUCUUCUAUCAACCAUACACAUCUGACCAAGAACUAAUGAUUGUUUUGCAGACACCUGUAAUGAAAUCAAACAUGGAGAACUAUGCAAAACAGUUAGUAUUUGUUGACACCACGCACUGCGUUAACC
Long non-coding RNA from Astatotilapia calliptera (eastern happy), 1015 nucleotides. The record is from Ensembl. NCBI's taxonomy places the organism in Eukaryota, Metazoa, Chordata, Actinopteri, Cichliformes, Cichlidae.